Molecule: long non-coding RNA, 3537 nt
Organism: Anas platyrhynchos (mallard)
Lineage: Eukaryota; Metazoa; Chordata; Aves; Anseriformes; Anatidae
Source: RefSeq, a predicted model, not a curated record
GGAGUUGCUACAGAGAGAGACACAAAAUUAGAAGAGGGCCACAUGGACCUGAUGGCAAUGGGAUCUAUACCUUAUCCGUGCUUGGUUCAGCUGUAAGCCAGACAAAGGCUCUGUAGCAAAACGAUAGCCCCUAAUGGCUGGUGUGUUGGCUGCAGGGCAGCCCUGACAUGCGGGCAUGGUUAGAUGCCCUGGGAGAGCCACAGUGAUGAACACUGGAUGAAGGGGGAGCUACUGGGCUUUUAGCCUGUACUGGCCACAGUUUUUGGUCAGCUGAGAUCGUUUCAGCCCAAAUUCCCAUGUGGUAACCUUUUGUGUUGGAUCAGAUUCUUUUGUGUUUUUGCACAGGGUGAAGUGAGGUGUGUUUGGACCAUUCAAGGAGGAGAUGGUUUCAUGCGAGUCAAGGGCUGACCUGCAGACAGGCUGGAUCUCCGCCUUUUAUAGAUGGGGAACGGUGGCUGUGAGGGUUCCCAAGGGAUCAGGAAGAACUGGGAGGCCUCUUGCAGGACCCUCAAACACUCACCUCCCAGAAGCAUCUCCUGCAGCAGGUUGUCGAUCUUAGCCAUGCCGAAGAGCUUAACAAACUGGAUCUGCUCUAUCAUCUGCCAGGUGAUGCUCUGCAGCACGGGCAGCAGCAGCAGCAGCUCCCCGAAGCGGCCCCGUGAGUCGUACUGCCGGUCAUUGAUGUAGUCCUCCAGGCUGACCUGCACCUGGUACCGCAUCCGCUUGAUCUUGGAGGGGUCACUCAGUCCUUUGGCAUCUGAAACAACCCACAGAGCAAACUAUCCAGGCUGCUUCCCUAGGAACUGUCCUUCAGUAAUAACAUGAAUUCUGGGCACAGGCUGAGGUGAGCUGUCUCUGAUUCUCCGCUGUCUGUGGCAGUGGACAUUUUUCUUCUUCUUGGUCUGACUUCACCCCUCCCUCUAUGAACAGCUUGGCCCCAGGAGGAGACCAGGCGGCACUUCCACAGCUCACAACUAGUAUUUGUUGGCAUAACACCAACUAGUUCCCUUUGACAAUGAGCCUUGCAUGCUGCAAGACAGAGCAUACCUGGGUCAAAGAAGAUGAUGGCUUUCAAGCAGGCGUAUUCGUUAUCAUCUAUCUGCAGCUCCUGGAAGGGGAGGACCAGCUCGUCCAGGAUGCGGAUGGCCACGCGGCUGACCUCCACCAGCUCGGGGCAGUUCCGUGGGAUGAUAUGGUCAUUUCCUUUGGACAAGCAGCACAGAGACCAUCACCUCGUCAUUGACCAAAAAUUCAUAAGGGUGACAAGGAGUUCAAAACCCAGACAACUAAUGUUGAGAUGGAAGCCUUAAGAAGUUCCUGUUUCUGCCUAGUAUGGCCCACCAGAAAUGCUGAUCUUUUCUGCCAGAGCAGCUUCUCCCCACUCAGGAGUCACUCAAGCAAGGAGAAGCUGAUUGAGGAGCAAGAGCUUCUUCUCAAUCACACCACAGCCUGCUUACACUAAACCUGAUGGGGAUGUUUAUUGUCAACUACCUUUGCCACACCAACAGGUUAUGGUCCAGAUGUGAAUAUGUGUCAGGCCUGGCUGCACACAAAGGGUUCCUUAAAAGCUCAAGCCACCACCCUGCAAAAAGGGUGCCUGCAAACACUGAACCACACUCUCCUUUAUCCCAGCAGGGAAGCUUAGCAGAAACAGAGCAGCAGGGAGGAGCAGAAGCGCACUCUUUACCUAGCAGCAAGACAUCCUUGAACACCAUGGACCUCUUGGCAACUCCCAGUAACAGAUGUUCGCCUGCAUGUGCUCGCAGCAGUGCCACCUGCAAGGGUAGGGACAAGUUACUUGGGUGGUGCACAGACAGACACACACGGCUGUGAUUUCAUGUAAGCAGCAGAGGAAGCUGAGAAUCUGUGUUACACUCAGGCUAGAUGUAUGGGAGGGGGAAGCAAGGGAGUGCUUAGGAAAAUAAGGCUCCAUCUUAGGAAGAGACUGGGUGAAACCAUGAUGACUGAGGAGGAAGGCAGUGGGGAGAGACUGCAGAGCAGCCUGGUCACGGGGCGGGAUGGGGCUGCAGGGCCCUACCGGGGCAGCACGGGGGGAUUCCUGUAACCCAGCCCACGUGCAUCGUGCCCCUCGCUGAAAGCUCCCUGCUGCACUCAGUGACCCGGGAUCAGAGGCCCAGGAAUGAGCCUGAGGUGCCUGUGUGAGGGGAGAUGAGGCUUUAGCUGUCUCUCACAGGACCAAGGAGGAGGGCUGCCAUAUCUCUGGGCAGUGCCCACAGGGACUCACGUCUACUGGCUGGGGGGUUGCUCUCUGGUCAUUUGUUCCCUCCGUAGCAGUGGGCAUUUGAGCCAGAGAAGCCAAAGGGAUGUUUUUCUGCCUUGGCGUUAAUGAUUGAAGUGUUUCAUUUUACACCCUCCAUUGGCUCCCGAGAAUGUUCUGAAUCUUUUGCCCUCCUUCGGUUAAAAAUUUCAGAGAUUUAGGCAGAAACAAAAGUUAACAAUUGGACAGCCUGACAUGGAGACUCCUUAAUAUCCAGCCAGGAAACUCUGCUGAAGAAAACAAUCAUUAAACAUUAAAGGAGAGAUUCUGAAAAGUUUGUCCUGAUGGGAAUGGUCCCCUUUUCCAGUGGGUUAUCUCUCAGCAUCUGACAAAGCCAAGCAAAGUCCUACCCUACCAGAAAUGUCAGGAAAGUGUAUCACCUGUGGAAGAAAGCACUGGUUAAAAAAGAUGCUGAUGUCUGAGAGAUGUUUUUUGGUGUUUUUUUUUUCUUUCUUUUUUUUUCUUUUUUUUCUUCUUGGGGGUGUAAAAGGGUUAUGCAAAAUAAACAGAGUGGAGGUCCUUGCAAAAAGACUAUGCACACAUGAUGUUGGGGAACCUUUAUCUGUAUGCCCAAAUCUAGCCUCUCUCUAUCGCUAUCCAAACAUGGGUGGGUGUACUAGCUGAGCUGCUCGUAAUUAGCAGAGCUGCACAAAGCUGAGCUUCCCAUCUGCCGAAAAUUUGAGAAGGUUGGGAAGACUGCAAGUCCCAGUGGGGAACAAACCCCUCGUGGAAAUUUUCUGCCUAAUCCAAAUUCAAAAGCUCAGGUUGGAAACACCAUUUUUGUAUCCAUACAAUGUACUUUAAAGUUAAACUAAAUUACUUCAGCAAAGCAAAAACAUCUUAACUGUUCUUUGUUCUUGCAGUGAUCACCCUGAGAUACAUCACUCCAUUGUCAACUAGGAUAAAUAUAAAAGUUGUAACACCGCAAAGUAGAACUUUAACUUUGAAGUGGAAUGGCUUUGCCCCACCAAACCCAGUACUCUGACAUUUUGGUGCAGAGGAAAAAUGAGUUGGGUGUGACUUUUCCUAUAAAUAUGCUGGCUGAGAUGACUCAUUCUGAGGCAGCAUUUUAAUGGCAGUGUCACAGCGUUUCCCAACAUUACAUGUUCCCACCGGACAUGUCUUGACCAGCUCUCAUGCCCCUUGGGCAUUUGGCUCGCGUGUAUUUUUGUUCAUUCCUGCUCCCUGGCAUGUCUGUCCUCCUUCCUGCACUCCCCUGAGUAUCUGCUGUCUCUGUUCUCACACUCCGUCCCUCGAAA